Molecule: non-coding RNA, 227 nt
Organism: Ictidomys tridecemlineatus (thirteen-lined ground squirrel)
Lineage: Eukaryota; Metazoa; Chordata; Mammalia; Rodentia; Sciuridae
Source: RefSeq, a predicted model, not a curated record
GUUGAAGGCGAUGCGCAGGAACGGUGCCAUGGUGGGGCCUGCAGCAGGGUUGGAUGUAGAGGGCUGAUGAAGUCAGGCAGCACUGGGACAGCCCCAGGACAUGCUCAGGACUAGGGCAGUCAGAGGCUCUGCCCACAUCAGUGUACUUGACCCUUCUGAACUCACCCCUUGGCGUCACAUGCCUCCCGCUGCCUGCACUUUCAAAAUGAAAAUUUUUUUUCCCCAAA